RNAcentral lists this ribosomal RNA (446 nucleotides) under Luteimonas panaciterrae. Its description in RNAcentral is "bacterial SSU rRNA". It matches the Rfam family "Bacterial small subunit ribosomal RNA", at positions 1 to 445 of the family's 1533-position model. Lineage: Bacteria; Pseudomonadati; Pseudomonadota; Gammaproteobacteria; Lysobacterales; Lysobacteraceae. The record is from RNAcentral.
UUUAGAGUUUGAUUCCAUGGCUCAGAGUGAACGCUGGCGGCAGGCCUAACACAUGCAAGUCGAACGGCAGCACAGAGGAGCUUGCUCCUUGGGUGGCGAGUGGCGGACGGGUGAGGAAUACAUCGGAAUCUACCUUGUCGUGGGGGAUAACGUAGGGAAACUUACGCUAAUACCGCAUACGACCUACGGGUGAAAGCGGAGGACCGCAAGGCUUCGCGCGAUAAGAUGAGCCGAUGUCGGAUUAGCUAGUUGGCGGGGUAAAGGCCCACCAAGGCGACGAUCCGUAGCUGGUCUGAGAGGAUGAUCAGCCACACUGGAACUGAGACACGGUCCAGACUCCUACGGGAGGCAGCAGUGGGGAAUAUUGGACAAUGGGCGCAAGCCUGAUCCAGCCAUGCCGCGUGGGUGAAGAAGGCCUUCGGGUUGUAAAGCCCUUUUGUUGGGAA